Molecule: ribosomal RNA, 254 nt
Filed under: uncultured bacterium
Lineage: Bacteria
Description: partial 16S ribosomal RNA
Rfam family: Bacterial small subunit ribosomal RNA
Source: RNAcentral
UACGUAGGAUCCAAGCGUUAUCCGGAUUUACUGGGCGUAAAGAGUUGCGUAGGUGGCAUAGUAAGUCAGUAGUGAAAUCCUGGGGCUCAACCCCUUCAACAUUAUUGAAACUACUAAGCUAGAGAAUGAGAGAGGUUACUGGAAUUCCAAGUGUAGGAGUGAAAUCCGUAGAUAUUUGGAGGAACACCGAUGGCGUAGGCAGGUAACUGGCUCAUUUCUGACACUAAGGCACGAAAGCGUGGGGAGCAAACGGG